Nemania abortiva is the source of this 81-nucleotide non-coding RNA. NCBI's taxonomy places the organism in Eukaryota, Fungi, Ascomycota, Sordariomycetes, Xylariales, Xylariaceae. The record is from the annotation of a GenBank genome assembly.
GGCCAGGUGGCGGAGUGGUUAACGCGGUAGACUAGAAAUCUACUUCCUUCGGGAGCGUCUGUUCGAAUCAGGCCCUGGUCG